This is a small nuclear RNA of Carlito syrichta (Philippine tarsier), 107 nucleotides long. The record is from Ensembl. NCBI's taxonomy places the organism in Eukaryota, Metazoa, Chordata, Mammalia, Primates, Tarsiidae.
GUGCUCACUUCGGCUGCACAAAUACUAAAAUUGGAAUGAUACAGAGAAGAUUAGCAUGGCCCCUGCACAAGGAUGGCAUGUAAAUUCAUGAAGCGUUCCAUAUUUUU